RNAcentral lists this microRNA precursor (197 nucleotides) under Helianthus annuus (common sunflower). Its description in RNAcentral is "microRNA MIR159". It matches the Rfam family "MIR159 microRNA precursor family". The record is from RNAcentral. Lineage: Eukaryota; Viridiplantae; Streptophyta; Magnoliopsida; Asterales; Asteraceae.
UUAUGAUGUAGGGAGCUUUCUUCAGCCCACUCAUGGAUGUGAUUAAGGAAUUGAAUUAGCUGCCGACUCAUUCAUUUAACCACUUGGUAGAAAAAGGUUUGUUUUAUGCUACUUUGAUUGAAUGAAUGAUGCGGGAGAUAGUUUUCAUCCCUUGCUAAUCUAUGCUUGGACUGAAGGGAGCUCCCUCAUUCUUUUCA